CAGUUGCUGUUUUCGCGGUGCAACGAUAUGGAGAAACACUUUCGCGGUUUGACCAACGACGACAACGCGAACAACGGAAACGACGAUCUAGAAUGAAGAAUCGAGGGCCGCGUGUAGAGGAUCGAGGAUCGAGAAUGAAACAUCGACGAACGACGAGCGACGAACGACAUACGACGAACGGCGAACAACAUACGACGAACGACGAACGGCGAACGACAUACGACGAACGACACGAAGCUUCGUCGCGAUAACGUUAGCAACGUUCGCUCGUUUGACGGAAAGGAGGAAGAAACGUGAACGUUAUAGUCGCGUACGGCGUCUGAAACUCGAGUCUUGGAUCGUUAUAAGAAAAAAUGGAAAAAAGGAGGGGGGAAGAGAGGGAGAGAGAGAGAGAGAGAGGGAGAUUAGCAGGAGG
RNAcentral lists this unclassified non-coding RNA (415 nucleotides) under Bombus terrestris (buff-tailed bumblebee). RNAcentral describes it as "misc RNA ENSBTSG00005024943.1". The record is from RNAcentral. Lineage: Eukaryota; Metazoa; Arthropoda; Insecta; Hymenoptera; Apidae.